Molecule: ribosomal RNA, 254 nt
Filed under: uncultured bacterium
Lineage: Bacteria
Description: partial 16S ribosomal RNA
Rfam family: Bacterial small subunit ribosomal RNA
Source: RNAcentral
UACGUAGGGUGCGAGCGUUGUCCGGAAUUAUUGGGCGUAAAGAGCUCGUAGGCGGUGUGUCGCGUCGGCCGUGAAAACCUGGGGCUCAACUCUGGGCGUGCGGUCGAUACGGGCAUCACUUGAGUUCGGCAGGGGAGACUGGAAUUCCUGGUGUAGCGGUGAAAUGCGCAGAUAUCAGGAGGAACACCGGUGGCGAAGGCGGCUCUCUGGGACGGUACUGACGCUGAGACGCGAAAGCGUGGGGAGCGAACAGG